RNAcentral lists this long non-coding RNA (624 nucleotides) under Anolis carolinensis (green anole). RNAcentral describes it as "lncRNA (ENSACAG00000033752.2)". The record is from RNAcentral. Lineage: Eukaryota; Metazoa; Chordata; Lepidosauria; Squamata; Anolidae.
AUGAGACAAUCCCUUCUUCUUCUUCUUUUCUUUCUUUUUCCCACACCAUGCGGAAAUAUGCUCUCCUCCUCCUCCUCGGGCAAAGGACACGAGGGGGCGGGUGGAAAUGUCUCCUGCUCCAUCCGCAACGAGCCAAUCGCCGGCCGACCCCAAGUUCCCGGGAGGGGAGUCUCCCGCCAACGCCCCCCUUUGGUGUGCAGUGGUGACGCCGGCCGUGACGUCAGCAAUGGAACGUUUCGGGAACCCUGCACCGGGGCCGGAACGAACCAUUCUCGCGGGAGGGGUGCGGAUCCGACCCCGGCUGAAGCUCCGCUUGCCCCCCGCUCUCCGCCCGCUUGCCCACCGCACCGCCCGAGGAUGUAUCAGAGCCCGGCGCGCUCCCUCUGCUCGGCCCUCUCCAGCCUCUGCUGCGCCCCAGCCGCCACGUCCUCCUCCUCCUCGCGGCUCCUGCGCUCCCCGGCGCCGGUCAAGAGAGACCUUUCUUCGCCCACCCGGCUGGCCUCCGCCUCCUCUUCCUCCGGCUCCCUCGCAGCGUUUGCGCAGCCGCAGCGACUUCUCUCGCAGUGAGUCGAGACCUGAGUGCGCUCACUUCCUUUUCCAGUCUGAGCGAACCUACCAUAAUAG